Molecule: long non-coding RNA, 1166 nt
Organism: Ceratina calcarata
Lineage: Eukaryota; Metazoa; Arthropoda; Insecta; Hymenoptera; Apidae
Exons: 3
Source: RefSeq, a predicted model, not a curated record
ACGUGUUUCAAGCAAAAAUGUUUACAAAAUAUGAAUCUACUAACUGAAUACAAUGUCUAUUAGGAAGACCUUUCUUUCUAAUCGGAUUGCUAUCAACAGUGAAACAGAAAUGAUAAACCGUAGAGCAGAUUAGAACUGAAAAGAACUAAAUUCAUUUUUUAGAUUUCAAACAUGUUUGUUUAUCUUGCACAUAUUAAAGUAAACAUUAACAAAAUGUGAAUUUCCACUUAUUGAAUUAUUAGAGAAAUAUGAUUAAGAAUACUGUUUCUCUGAUCAGACUGCCACCACAUGGUAGAGCAACACUGUACUGACAGAGAACGAAUUGAUAAAACGUGGGACAGAUUAGAAUUGAAAUCGGCGGCUUCCCUGUCAAUCUGUCAGCGGUUUACGUAACAUCGGUCGCGCUAUAAUUCCUUAAAUAAAUUCCAAACACACUUCUCGCGCAGACGCUCGCCGAGCAUAUUUAAACUGAUUGCGCAACGCGAACGAGGUUCUUGGUGUAGCUUGUUCUCAUCGGAUUUAACGCUUCUUUUCCGUACACAGUGAGCACGUGCCAGUAACGAGUAAUGAUACAUUUUCCACUUGCGAAAAGAUUGGAGAGUUUAUGCUUGAAUAAAUGUACGCUUGCGAAAGGAUGACGAGGAUCGUUGUAUUUCUCAUCGUUCCUUAGAAUGGUCCGUUCACGUUACCGUAAUCGUACCGUAAGAAAAAUCUUACGGGUUCUCCGGCGACAUUUUGAACUCGAGAGAUGCCUCCGCCGUAAGAAAUAGUACCGUAGCAGGAAAUUGAAGGUAUCAUAUGUUGUCCGACUCCUAUAUCUUUGAGACUGUAAUCUCGUAGAGACUUGUAAUCUAUUGUUAAAUGGGAAAUCGUCACUCUAUAGUUGUUCUCUCUUUUUUAAUAACGCUGCCAAUUGCAAGUAGCAAAUCAGUCACUUUCAGCAAUUUAUUAGGAGUCUGUACGUAUUUGAGAACAUCCUGGCUCAUGAUGUUUCAAAGUUACGAUCGAAUUGACCUGAAAUUUACAGGAUCGGCAGUAAAAAAAAAGUCUAGCAGCUACUCAUACAUAGGUCCUUCGAUUAAAAUUUUCAUUUAAUUGUAAAAGCUAGCAAGAUUGCCAUAGUGUGAAAUGUAAUUUAUAAUUUAUACUUGAAUAAAUAUGUUUAU